UGGAGUGAUGAUUUUAUAGACUAGAGUCUCUGAGAAAAAACAUGAAGUUGUUUUCACAGUGCACUGACCA
Small nucleolar RNA from Echeneis naucrates (live sharksucker), 70 nucleotides. Ensembl annotates it as small nucleolar RNA SNORD52. The record is from Ensembl. NCBI's taxonomy places the organism in Eukaryota, Metazoa, Chordata, Actinopteri, Carangiformes, Echeneidae.